UGGGUACCUGAGAAAGAGACCAGAAAAUGACUUCACAAUCUUUAGAACCCUAAACCCAAUACUAUUAUUAUAUUUUUUUAUUAAAUUUGUAUAUAAAGAGAAAGAGAGGAAAAAACACAAUCAAGUAUAGAUGCAAGAAAAGGUACAAAUUUUCUCCUUACAAGGGCGUGAGAAUCUAAGAGACAAAAGAAAAAGCUGAUUGCAGAAUAGAAGAAGCAUUUGAUUUUUGUUUUGUUUCUUCACUUAAUUUUUUCCAUGAUAAAGCACAUUUUUCACAGAGAGGCACAAGAAAAGAACUGUACAACUCGUCUCUUCUUUACUUCACUAACAACAGAAUAGUAAAAUUCCGCAGACAUUAAAUAAAGAAAGUUCUGAUGAAUAAUAAGAAAGGAAAUUGCUUUUAUCAGCUUUUAGUUUUUUCUCUCUUUUAGUUUUUGUCUUUCUUAAGAGACAAUAUACCAAUGACACUGCAACACUGACAAAUCUGAGACGUAUUUUGUAAUUAUCCUAAUAGCAUUUUUACUUAUUUGAAUAAUAGUAUAUGGGAAAAAGAAUUAAAGGCAAAGUAAAGAGGAAACUAUAAAGAAACCCUUAGGAUGUUAUUACGAUCCCAAAGCAUAAAAGUUUGUGAUCUCAUUCUGUAAACUUCUUUUAUUAUACUACUAUUCGUUAUUUAAUCCCUUUGCCAUGCAAAACAUGUUACAUAUACACACUGACAAAAACACACCCCAUUUUCUUGAAAAUCUCAAGGUCAAUGCAUUGUUACCCUUGCUAGAACAUCAUUAUCCAGGAUUUUUUUAAUUAAAACGGGAUUCUUAAGAGAACAUAAAAAAUUGUUUUUUAAUUUUUAACUAAAAAAUUAAGAGACUAUUUUUUAAAGUAAGAAAACCUGGAAAAUGGUGCUCUUAGUUUUCACUAUAACUGAUAGUUUUUACUAGUGGUGCAAAGGAAUAAUGAAUAAAAUACUGUAAUUGAAUCAAAUUGGUGUAAUAAACAUAAUUUUCAGAAAACUACAAAUAUUCUCAAGGCAUUUCAUUUUUAUUUUAUU
Long non-coding RNA from Brassica rapa (field mustard), 1048 nucleotides. RefSeq lists it as uncharacterized. Lineage: Eukaryota; Viridiplantae; Streptophyta; Magnoliopsida; Brassicales; Brassicaceae. The record is from RefSeq and is a predicted model, not a curated record.